RNAcentral lists this ribosomal RNA (429 nucleotides) under Chloroflexota bacterium. Its description in RNAcentral is "Chloroflexi bacterium partial 16S ribosomal RNA". It matches the Rfam family "Bacterial small subunit ribosomal RNA", at positions 355 to 776 of the family's 1533-position model. The record is from RNAcentral. Lineage: Bacteria; Bacillati; Chloroflexota.
UGGGGAAUAUUGCACAAUGGGCGCAAGCCUGAUGCAGCCAUGCCGCGUGUAUGAAGAAGGCCUUCGGGUUGUAAAGUACUUUCAGUCGGGAGGAAGGUGGUAAGGUUAAUAACCUUAUCAAUUGACGUUACCGACAGAAGAAGCACCGGCUAACUCCGUGCCAGCAGCCGCGGUAAUACGGAGGGUGCAAGCGUUAAUCGGAAUUACUGGGCGUAAAGCGCACGCAGGCGGUUGAUUGAGUCAGAUGUGAAAUCCCCGGGCUUAACCCGGGACUUGCAUCUGAUACUGGUCAGCUAGAGUCUUGUAGAGGGGGGUAGAAUUCCAUGUGUAGCGGUGAAAUGCGUAGAGAUGUGGAGGAAUACCGGUGGCGAAGGCGGCCCCCUGGACAAAGACUGACGCUCAGGUGCGAAAGCGUGGGGAGCAAACAGG